Molecule: long non-coding RNA, 920 nt
Organism: Panicum virgatum (switchgrass)
Lineage: Eukaryota; Viridiplantae; Streptophyta; Magnoliopsida; Poales; Poaceae
Exons: 2
Source: RefSeq, a predicted model, not a curated record
CUCUCUCUCCCUCUUCCUGUGCGUGGUCACCGUGGCCAAAUUGGCCACGGCGCCGCUCGCGUCGUGCGUCCCCGCCAAACCCCUGCUUCCGCGUUGCCGUUCUCGAGCCUUCUCGAGCUCGCCUCCUCGCUACCUCCCCUGCGUGCUUGCCGCCGUCGCCCAGACCCCGCCGGCCUCCCAUGCUCACGCGUGAAUGCCGUCGCCGCGCACGCCGCACGCCAUGGCCGCCGUCGUCCCUGCUCUCGUCGAGCCCCUUCCUCCACCCCACCUCGAACCAAACCGACCCCGCAGCCGGCUUCACCUCGCCCCCAGGAAGCUCACCGACCCUUUCCCCGCCGCUCACGACCGUCGAAGCGCCGUGGCCGCCGCUAGCCACCACCGCUGGCCGCCUGCUCCCGUCGCUGGCCCUCCUCCGGCCACCCCGGCAUCAACCGAGACCACCCAGAGGUACGAUAGAUGAACCAUAUGAAGGACGUGCUAUUGGAGCCUAACCCGAAGACGAUGUUGGUGGACAUAUCCCGAAGACGGAUGGAUGGAACCCGAUGUGCAUGACCAAAGGAAGAUGCUCGCCAAGCGAGUAUCAUCUAACUAACACUGACUUAGUGUUAAUCCCAGGCAAGCCCCGGUGCACAUCCUAUUAUUUGAAAUUAUGACAUCUAUAUAUGUAUUUAUUAUUUGUGCAUUACGUUUCAGGAGUUGAUUGGAACCCUAGUUGCAUGAUCCCUAGGUUUCCCUGAAUUAUACUAGCAUGUAUAGGACGAUAGAAAUGCUAUGCUUAAUACUUCUCGAUAGAAGUCGAGUGACUUGUUGCACUCGCGAGAUAUAGGAUACUUAGAAGUCGAGUAAUUUCCGGUUACUCGCGAGAUAUAAGUUAUAUACUUAUAUACAGUACCUGAGUUGUUGAAAUUGACAUGGAAAUA